CCCAGAGGUAUUGAUGGGUGAACAUCAACUGAUUUUUUCUUGAUUACACCGACCUGCGUAGAUACGCAGGUUUUUUUU
This is a small RNA of Pantoea ananatis LMG 20103, 78 nucleotides long. It matches the Rfam family "OmrA-B family". NCBI's taxonomy places the organism in Bacteria, Pseudomonadati, Pseudomonadota, Gammaproteobacteria, Enterobacterales, Erwiniaceae. The record is from Rfam.